Molecule: ribosomal RNA, 390 nt
Filed under: uncultured bacterium
Lineage: Bacteria
Description: bacterial SSU rRNA
Rfam family: Bacterial small subunit ribosomal RNA
Source: RNAcentral
AUUGAACGCUGGCGGCAUGCCUUACACAUGCAAGUCGAGCGGCAGCGCGGGGGCAACCCUGGCGGCGAGCGGCGGACGGGUGAGUAAUGCAUCGGAACGUGUCCUCUUGUGGGGGAUAACCAGUCGAAAGACUGGCUAAUACCGCAUGAGCUCGUAAGAGGAAAGCAGGGGACCCGCAAGGGCCUUGCGCGAGAGGAGCGGCCGAUGCCCGAUUAGCAGUUGGCGGGGUAAAAGCCCACCAAGGCGACGAUCGGUAGCUGGUCUGAGAGGACGACCAGCCACACUGGGACUGAGACACGGCCCAGACUCCUACGGGAGGCAGCAGUGGGGAAUUUUGGGCAAUGGGGGAAACCCUGAUCCAGCCAUGCCGCGUGUGUGAAGAAGGCCUGG